GAUGAACGCUGACAGAAUGCUUAACACAUGCAAGUCUUUGGCGAAGCUGUGCUUGCACCGCCUAGCCAAGGCGGACGGGUGAGUAACGCGUAAGGAACUUGCCCUGCAGUCAGGGAUAACAGACGGAAACGACUGAUAAGACCUGGUAAAGUCAGGCGGACUCAUGUCCAGCCUGAUGAAAAGAGAUGCUGCAGGAGAGCCUUGCGUCCUAUUAGCUUGUUGGUGGGGUAACGGCCCACCAAGGCGAUGAUAGGUAGCCGGCCUGAGAGGGUGGACGGCCACAAGGGGACGGAGAUACGGCCCUUACUCCUACGGGAGGCAGCAGUGGGGAAUAUUGGACAAUGGGGGCAACCCUGAUCCAGCAAUUCUGUGUGCACGAUGAAGGUUUUCGGACUGUAAAGUGCUUUCAGCAGGGAAGAAAAAAAUGACGGUACCUGCAGAAGAAGCGACGGCUAAAUACGUG
RNAcentral lists this ribosomal RNA (463 nucleotides) under uncultured bacterium. RNAcentral describes it as "partial 16S ribosomal RNA". It matches the Rfam family "Bacterial small subunit ribosomal RNA", at positions 28 to 507 of the family's 1533-position model. The record is from RNAcentral.